AAGAAAGUCAUAGAGGAUAUGGGGUUGGCUUGAAACUAGCUUUUGAGGGUUCAAUUCCUUCCUUUCUUG
Molecule: transfer RNA, 69 nt
Filed under: Toromys rhipidurus (Peruvian armored tree-rat)
Lineage: Eukaryota; Metazoa; Chordata; Mammalia; Rodentia; Echimyidae
Description: tRNA-Ser
Rfam family: tRNA
About the family: Transfer RNA (tRNA) molecules are approximately 80 nucleotides in length. Their secondary structure includes four short double-helical elements and three loops (D, anti-codon, and T loops).
Source: RNAcentral